RNAcentral lists this ribosomal RNA (255 nucleotides) under uncultured bacterium. RNAcentral describes it as "partial 16S ribosomal RNA". It matches the Rfam family "Bacterial small subunit ribosomal RNA", at positions 524 to 776 of the family's 1533-position model. The record is from RNAcentral.
UACGUAGGGUGCAGGCGUUAAUCGGAAUUACUGGGCGUAAAGCGUGCGCAGGCGGUUUGCUAAGACAGGUGUGAAAUCCCCGGGCUUAACCUGGGAACUGCGCUUGUUACUGGCAGGCUUGAGUGUGGCAGAGGGGGGGUGGAAUUCCACGUGUAGCAGUGAAAUGCGUAGAGAUGUGGAGGAACACCGAUGGCGAAGGCAGCCCCCUGGGCUAACACUGACGCCUCAUGCACGAAAGCGUGGGGAGCAAACAGG